CUUUUCCUCCAUUAAUUCUCACAUUUUCUUCCAUCUGAUCAUCCAUCAGAGUGUAUGUAAGGUUGUUGGUGGCAAGGAUCCUCCUUUCAACCGAUCGUUUAGUGGUUUGAAGUGUGAAUCUUAGCGUUUGAGUGUUGGUCGUGGUGCAAAGUUUGUAUUGUGAGCGAUCGGUUUGUUAAGAGAAGCACAAGGGCAGGAUGAAUGAAUUGCUACAACAACCGCCACAUCAAACAAUUCUGGACCAACUUGGUGUGUUGGCAGUGAAGAUCUCCCUUUCUCCUAUAGAGUUACAAAUGCCUCUUGAAGUCACAAAUAGAACAUCUUCGCUCUCUUUCUUCAUAUGUCAGAGGCAUAUUUUUGAAAUUCUU
This is a non-coding RNA of Vigna umbellata (rice bean), 368 nucleotides long. Lineage: Eukaryota; Viridiplantae; Streptophyta; Magnoliopsida; Fabales; Fabaceae. The record is from RefSeq and is a predicted model, not a curated record.